Molecule: RNA transcript, 2494 nt
Organism: Labeo rohita (rohu)
Lineage: Eukaryota; Metazoa; Chordata; Actinopteri; Cypriniformes; Cyprinidae
Exons: 7
Source: RefSeq, a predicted model, not a curated record
UAAAUCGUUAUCUUUAUAUCUGCUAAACCCCACGUGAGUAGAUGUCGUGGACACCUUUGAUCAAUUUGUUGCUUUGUAAAGAUAAAUCGGAGCCACGUUUGUACUAAUUUGAUACCUCGGAUCAUAUUUGCUCGAUUUAAAAUUAACGUUAGGUUACUAACGGGAAUUAAUUAUGUGUCCAUGAUUUACAUAAAAUGAAGGAGUGUAUUAAUAAAUUGUGAAUUCAUAAAACAAAUUCCUAAAUCGUGGCCACGUCAAUUAGGUAUCCCUCUUUACAUUGCGCCUUCUAACUUACACGUUAAAAGCACACAGUUGUUCAUGAGGAUAACACGGAAGUUAUUGUUUGUAACUUUAAAAACACUGAAUUGUAUAAAAAGAUAAAAUAUCAAGGACACCAGGAGAAUUUACAGGGGUUAGAGGCCUAAUAGGCGGAUGAAUCCAUGACGCACCCUUAAGCACACCUAGAAGUGCCGCGCAGGCGCCAUCUCACACAUUAUUUUUAAGGAUGCAGCGCGAGCAGGCAUCUCUCAACUGGUGUGUGACCAGAGUUAUACUGUUCAGCUAGUCGCUAGUGAGAGUGUUUCAUUCCGAAGAAAUGCUGGUUCAAGUGGAGUGUAAAGGGAACCCGAAAUGGAUCCGAAUACCAGUGGAAAAAUGACUGUUUUGACUUCUGUGAAUUAAUUAAAGAAGCUCUAGCAAAGUUCAACUUGCCGCAUGGAGCCAAUGUGGUUCUUAAAGACUCUGCAGGAGUUGAUGCUGAUUUUUUUUGAUGAGCUUGUGAGAACAUCUAAGGUGUCCUUCAAAAUUUUGGAUUGUGAUACAGCAGAUAAUGUUCCACAAGCUGAGACCGAUUUCUCUGAGCCGUCAUGCCCCGAGUUGUCAUUUUCAUCAGUAAAAUCAGAAAGUUCAGAUUCCACAGUGAUUCCGCGAUCUUCAAAGGCACUGAUACAUGAUCCAGACAAAUCUUCACUCAUCCUUGAUUACUUUCCCCUAUUUUUGGAUACACCAGGCUUGAUUGACCAAGACUUUACUAUGCUUUUUGGAGAGGACAUUUCAAGCAAGUUUAUUGCAAAAUGGCCAACAUUCUACAAGCCAAGAAUAAUUGCUGACUGCAAAAACCUGCAUCAUGGUGCACAUGUGGAUGACCUUUUGUCUGCUCUGUAGGAGUCUGAUUAUGGAUGGGACAGUGAUGUGGCUGCUAUUCUCUUGCUCCUUCAUCUCUUGCCUCCAACUGUAAAAGGAAGGAAGACUGGGAAAAUCAGUGCAACAGAAGCAGCUGAUCAUGUUGUAAAGUUCAUGAAGGUGGGGACAAGCAUCAAGGCAUUUCUUGAGCGAGUUGGAUCUACACAGCCCUUCCUCCUCUGUGUUGGAGGAAAGAGGAGUAGCAUUCAGAAGUUUUACAUCAUCCUGGACCAGAAGGCCAUUCCCCGCAUGGUGCAGACAGCUGUUGCAGCCUUUGAUGAACUCUUUAAGGCACACUUUGUCUUUGCUGUAUCGUAUGAUGAGGCCUUGUGCAACUUCUACACGUUCAUUUAAACAACGGUGUAUGGAAUUGAUGUGGGCACAGCCAAGGAAAGUCCAAGGGUCAAGGAAAUCCAUGUGAGAAUUCACAACACUGAGGUUUGACUCCCCCCUCCCCCCAGCAUCUUGCUCAAAUGUUCUUAUGCUGUCUUUGCAAGGUACACCACAGAAGUUGUUCAAGUUUGUUUCAGCAUCUGAAGUUUCAUCAUGGUUUGUAUCCAGGGCGUUCAUUACGGUUGAAAUGUGGCGAACCUGGAUAUUCAUCUCUUUUUUUUUUUUUUUUUAAGAAGUCUGUAAAAAACUUUAAAAACAUAACCAAAACAUUGGCCAAGAAACACCAACAUCAGUUGGCUUUUCAUUGGGAGAGUUUUUAUUUUAAAAGAUUUCAGUUUGGUCCUUUUAAUGAAGUCUCUACUUGCACUCUGGAGGGUAACAAGCUUUUAACUGAAACUUGGAAUGUACCCACUGUCUCCACUACAACCUGGGUAAAAAACUAUGGAACUGAAUACCAAGUUGGAAUGUUUGUUUGCUCUCUUCUGUUGAAAAUGAAAUGCCUGUUUUUAAUAAGAUUAGCAGUAUUAUUGUGAAAGAUGGACAAGCUUUUCUUUUGGCCGGUAAUGUAAUUACAGUGUGUUUUGAUGAGCAUGUGCAUGCAUUCUGUAUUGAGGAGGUGGGAAAUAUUUUCACUCUCAUUUGUGUGGAUGAUUUGAUGUACUAUAGACCUUAUGACAGGCAGUUUUCAUAUGACAGUGAUGAGAGAAAUUACAUUGUUCCCUGUUGUGUUUUUGUUUCAGAUUGGAAUUAACUGCAAACUGUAAAGGUUUUUAAAUGCAGUGAAAUGCUGUGUCUGAAUGUGAAUGUUAAAUGUGGUGUACCUCAAAGUUUUUGCAAUCUUUUCUGCAAAUGUCAUGCCAUUUUAAUUUUGUAGAAAGAACCAAAACGUAACAAAAGUGCUACUAUAAAUCAGUAUUUU